UGAGGAACAUGACCUUCGGCGGGGGAUAGCCGGCCCAACGGCCGGGUAAUACCGCGUACGACCACAUGGGGACAUCCCUGAGUGGUGAAAGCAGCAAUGCGCCGAUGGAGUGCCUCGCGGCCUAUCAGCUAGUUGGUGAGGUAAUGGCUCACCAAGGCGACGACGGGUAGCUGGUCUGAGAGGAUGGCCAGCCACAUUGGGACUGAGACACGGCCCAGAUCCCGUACGGGG
Molecule: ribosomal RNA, 231 nt
Filed under: uncultured bacterium
Lineage: Bacteria
Description: partial 16S ribosomal RNA
Rfam family: Bacterial small subunit ribosomal RNA
Source: RNAcentral